GUUUAAACUGUUCGGCCGGUCUUCUGACCGGUUUACUCAGUUUGGACAGGCCAGCAUCAGUUUCGGCGGCCGGAUAAAGGCUCUGGGAAUGUGGCCUUCACUUCGGUGAAGGUGUUAUAGCCCAGGGUGUAAUACGGCCAGCCGGGACUGAGGUCCGCGCUUCGGCUAGGAUGCUGGCGUAAUGGUUGUAAGCGACCCGUCUUGAAACACGGACCAAGGAGUCUAACAUCUAUGCGAGUGUUCGGGUGUCAAACCCCUGCGCGUAAUGAAAGUGAACGGAGGUGGGAACCGCAAGGUGCACCAUCGACCGAUCCUGAUGUCUUCGGAUGGAUUUGAGUAAGAGCAUAGCUGUUGGGACCCGAAAGAUGGUGAACUAUGCCUGAAUAGGGUGAAGCCAGAGGAAACUCUGGUGGAGGCUCGCAGCGGUUCUGACGUGCAAAUCGAUCGUCA
Molecule: ribosomal RNA, 450 nt
Filed under: Aureobasidium melanogenum
Lineage: Eukaryota; Fungi; Ascomycota; Dothideomycetes; Dothideales; Saccotheciaceae
Description: partial large subunit ribosomal RNA
Rfam family: Eukaryotic large subunit ribosomal RNA
Source: RNAcentral